RNAcentral lists this long non-coding RNA (414 nucleotides) under Salmo salar (Atlantic salmon). RNAcentral describes it as "lncRNA (ENSSSAG00000083633.1)". Lineage: Eukaryota; Metazoa; Chordata; Actinopteri; Salmoniformes; Salmonidae. The record is from RNAcentral.
CAAUGUGGAGGCUAUAUGCAGGGGGUACCGGUACAGAGUAAAUGUGGAGGCUAUAUACAGGGGGUACCGGUACAGAGUCAAUGUGGAGGCUAUAUACAGGGGGUACCGGUACAGAGUCAAUGUGGAGGCUAUAUACAGGGGGUACCGGUACAGAGUCAAUGUGGAGGCUAUAUACAGGGGUUACCGGUACAGAGUCAAUGUGGAGGCUAUAUACAGGGGGUACCGGUACAGAGUCAAUGUGGAGGCUAUAUACAGGGUAUUACGGUACAGAGUCAGUGUGGAGGCUAUAUACAGGGUAUUACGGUACAGAGUCAAUGUGGAGGCUAUAUACAGGGGGUACCGGUACAGAGUCAAUGUGGGGGCUGUAUACAGGGGGUACCGGUACAGAGUCAAUGUGGAGGCUAUAUACAGGAG